UAGGGAAUCUUCGGCAAUGGACGGAAGUCUGACCGAGCAACGCCGCGUGAGUGAAGAAGGUUUUCGGAUCGUAAAGCUCUGUUGUAAGAGAAGAACGAGUGUGAGAGUGGAAAGUUCACACUGUGACGGUAUCUUACCAGAAAGGGACGGCUAACUACGUGCCAGCAGCCGCGGUAAUACGUAGGUCCCGAGCGUUAUCCGGAUUUAUUGGGCGUAAAGCGAGCGUAGGCGGUUAGAUAAGUCUGAAGUUAAAGGCUGUGGCUUAACCAUAGUACGCUUUGGAAACUGUUUAACUUGAGUGCAAGAGGGGAGAGUGGAAUUCCAUGUGUAGCGGUGAAAUGCGUAGAUAUAUGGAGGAACACCGGUGGCGAAAGCGGCUCUCUGGCUUGUAACUGACGCUGAGGCUCGAAAGCGUGGGGAGCAAACAGGAUUAGAUACCCUGGUAGUCCACGCCGUAAACGAUGAGUGCUAGGUGUUGGGUCCUUUCCGGGACUCAGUGCCGCAGCUAACGCAUUAAGCACUCCGCCUGGGGAGUACGACCGCAAGGUUG
Molecule: ribosomal RNA, 550 nt
Filed under: uncultured bacterium
Lineage: Bacteria
Description: bacterial SSU rRNA
Rfam family: Bacterial small subunit ribosomal RNA
Source: RNAcentral